AUGGCGGUGCAGCAGUGUACGGUGGCGCUCUUGGUGGCCGUCGCCCUCGUGGCGGGGCCAGCCGUCUCGUAUGCUGCCGAAGCUGGCUACGCCCCAGCCGGGCCACAGCCCAAGGCCACGACCGAGGAGCAGAAGCUAGCUGAGAAGGCCAACAACGCCUUCAAGGCGGCCGUGGCGGCCGCAGCCGCAGCCCCUCCAACGGACAAGGGCAAGAUAUUCCUGAACACCUUCGUGCAGAUCUUCGGCAACUGGUCUCUUGAGGGGGUCACCGACACGUCCAGCACCAAAGCCAUUUUCAACUCCAGGGUCGGCUUCACUCUGGCGUUGGCCUCACACAAAGCCCAGGGUGCUACCCCGGAGGCCAAGUAUGAAUCCUUCGUGGCCAUGUUCGACAAGUCGCUCUGCAUCAUCGUCGACAUCCUGAAGGUCCACUCCGGUGAGGAAGUCAAGGGGCCGAUCCCUGCCGGGGAGCUCAAGGCCAUCGACCAGAUCGACGCCGCCUACAGCACUGCAGCCACCACUGCCGACGCUGCCCCGAUAAAGGACAGGUCCACCGUCUUCGACUCUGCCUUCAGCAAGGCCAUCAAGGAGACCACUGGUGAUGCAUACGAGGCCUACAAGUUUGUCCCUGCCCUCGAGUCCGCCGUCAAGAAGAGCUACGCCAUUUUUCUUCCCAGGAAUCCCCAGGACAAGCGCACGCUCAUUGAGUCAUUCCUGAGCGACACCAUCGUCUCCAUGGUCGUCCCCGCCCCCGCCACUCCCACCGCCGCCGCCGCUGCCGGUGGCUACAAAGUCUGA
This 798-nucleotide ribosomal RNA is filed under the name Triticum aestivum (bread wheat). RNAcentral's name for it is "partial small subunit ribosomal RNA". The record is from RNAcentral. Lineage: Eukaryota; Viridiplantae; Streptophyta; Magnoliopsida; Poales; Poaceae.